UGGGGAAUAUUGGACAAUGGGCGAAAGCCUGAUCCAGCCACGCCGCGUGUGUGAAGAAGGUCUUCGGAUUGUAAAGCACUUUAAGUUGGGAGGAAGGGCAGUAAGCGAAUACCUUGCUGUUUCUACGUUACCGACAGAAUAAGCACCGGCUAACUCUGUGUCAGCAGCCGCGGUAAUACAGGGGGUGCAAGCGUUAAUCGGAGUUACUGGGCGUAAAGCGCGCGUAGGUGGUUCGUUAAGUGGAAUGUGAAAGCCCCGGGCUCAACCUGGGAACUGCAUCCGAAACUGGCGAGCUAGAGUAGGGCAGAGGGUGGUGGAAUUUCCUGUGUAGCGGUGAAAUGCGUAGAUAUAGGGAGGAACACCAGUGGCGAAGGCGACCACCUGGGCUCAUACUGACACUGAGGUGCGAAAGCGUGGGGAGCAAACAGG
Molecule: ribosomal RNA, 429 nt
Filed under: Pseudomonadota bacterium
Lineage: Bacteria; Pseudomonadati; Pseudomonadota
Description: Proteobacteria bacterium partial 16S ribosomal RNA
Rfam family: Bacterial small subunit ribosomal RNA
Source: RNAcentral